RNAcentral lists this long non-coding RNA (1009 nucleotides) under Parus major (Great Tit). Its description in RNAcentral is "lncRNA (ENSPMJG00000002483.1)". Lineage: Eukaryota; Metazoa; Chordata; Aves; Passeriformes; Paridae. The record is from RNAcentral.
ACCUGUGUGUCACCUGUGUCUCACCUGUUCAUCACCUGUAUCUCACCUGUGUGUCACCUGUGUCUCACCUGUUCAUCACCUGUGUGUCACCUGUGUCUCACCUGUAUCUCACCUGUAUCUCACCUGUAUCUCACCUGUAUCUCACCUGUGUGUCACCUGUCCAUCACCUUUAUCUCACCUGUAUCUCACAUGUAUGUCACCUGUGUGUCACCUGUGUGUCACCUGUGUGUCACCUGUGUGUCACCUGUGUGUCACCUGUCCAUCACCAUUAUCUCACCUGUGUGUCACCUGUGUCUCACCUGUGUGUCACCUGUUCAUCACCUGUUCAUCACCUGUUCAUCACCUGUUCAUCACCUGUAUCUCACCUGUGUGUCACCUGUCCAUCACCUUUAUCUCACCUGUCCAUCACCUGUAUCUCACCUGUUCAUCACCUGUCUCUCACCUGUCUCUCCCCCUCCCAGGUACGCGGCGUACCGCACGCCGCAGCUGCCGCAGUUCCUGGGUCAGAUUUUGGGUGUAAAUUCCCCAAUUUUGGGUGUAAAUUCCCCAAUUUGGGGUGUAAAUUCCCCAAUUUUGGCAGAAUUAACCCCAUUUCUCACCUGUAUCUCACCUUUAUCUCACCUGUGCAUCACCUGUUCAUCACCUGUGUGUCACCUGUUCAUCACCUGUCUCUCACCUGUCUCUCACCUGUUCAUCACCUGUAUCUCACCUGUCUCUCACCUGUCCAUCACCUGUCUCUCACCUGUGUCUCACCUGUCCAUCACCUGUAUCUCACCUGUAUCUCAGCUGUUCAUCACCUGUCUCUCACCUGUCUCUCACCUGUAUCUCACCUGUCUCUCACCUGUCUCUCACCUGUCCAUCACCUGUCCAUCACCUGUUCAUCACCUGUCUCACCUGUCUCUCACCUGUAUCUCACCUGUUCCUCACCUGUCUCUCCCCCUCCCAGGUACGUGGUGUACCGCACGCCGCAGCUGCCGCAGUUCCUGGGUCAGAUUUUGGGUGUAAAUGU